This 72-nucleotide transfer RNA is filed under the name Cavia porcellus (domestic guinea pig). It matches the Rfam family "tRNA". From Rfam's summary of the family: Transfer RNA (tRNA) molecules are approximately 80 nucleotides in length. Lineage: Eukaryota; Metazoa; Chordata; Mammalia; Rodentia; Caviidae. The record is from Rfam by way of RNAcentral.
UGGGAUAUAGCUCAGUGGUAGAUCAAACAGCUAACAUACUUUAAAUUCUGGGUUCAAGUCCCAGUACCACAA